Long non-coding RNA from Saccostrea echinata, 244 nucleotides. RefSeq lists it as uncharacterized. The record is from RefSeq and is a predicted model, not a curated record. The transcript is spliced from 2 exons. Lineage: Eukaryota; Metazoa; Mollusca; Bivalvia; Ostreida; Ostreidae.
AUAUUGAACUAGAUGCUAACCUUUAAAAGUUACAAAUGUAUCCAGUAUGUCCAUGGGAUGAGGAAAUGAUUAAAGAUCAAUUAGAUAUUACCAUGUUGCAGCCACAAUGAAGGAAAAUUUCAAAGAUAUGCUGAUCUGAGAAUAGGAUAAAAUUUGGAAUCAAAGGAUCUGCAGAUUAAUCAUGUACCCUAGCUGAGCUUGCAUACAUGACGGAGUUCUGAUGUUGGCACUCAUUUAAAGGAAA